Molecule: ribosomal RNA, 445 nt
Filed under: uncultured bacterium
Lineage: Bacteria
Description: partial 16S ribosomal RNA
Rfam family: Bacterial small subunit ribosomal RNA
Source: RNAcentral
GUGAGGAAUAUUGGUCAAUGGACGAGAGUCUGAACCAGCCAAGUCGCGUGAAGGAAGACGGUUCUAUGAAUUGUAAACUUCUUUUGUGCAGGAAUAAAGUGGGUUACGUGUAACCUUUUGUAUGUACUGUACGAAUAAGGAUCGGCUAACUCCGUGCCAGCAGCCGCGGUAAUACGGAGGAUUCGAGCGUUAUCCGGAUUUAUUGGGUUUAAAGGGUGCGUAGGUGGAUUGAUAAGUCAGCGGUGAAAGUUUGCAGCUUAACUGUAAAAUUGCCGUUGAAACUGUCGGUCUUGAGUGCAAAUGAGGUAGGCGGAAUGUGUUGUAUAGCGGUGAAAUGCUUAGAUAUAACACAGAACUCCGAUUGCGAAGGCAGCUUACUGGGAUGCAACUGACACUGAUGCACGAAAGCGUGGGUAUCAAACAGGAUUAGAAACCCCAGUAGUCC